UCACGUGCUACAAUGGCAUAUACAACGAGUUGCCAACCUGCGAAGGUGAGCUAAUCUCUUAAAGUACGUCUCAGUUCGGACUGCAGUCUGCAACUCGAGAGCAUGAAGCC
RNAcentral lists this ribosomal RNA (110 nucleotides) under uncultured Campylobacter sp. RNAcentral's name for it is "partial 16S ribosomal RNA". It matches the Rfam family "Bacterial small subunit ribosomal RNA", at positions 1218 to 1327 of the family's 1533-position model. Lineage: Bacteria; Pseudomonadati; Campylobacterota; Epsilonproteobacteria; Campylobacterales; Campylobacteraceae. The record is from RNAcentral.